This 98-nucleotide microRNA precursor is filed under the name Chlorocebus sabaeus (green monkey). RNAcentral describes it as "miRNA (ENSCSAG00000019846.1)". The record is from RNAcentral. Lineage: Eukaryota; Metazoa; Chordata; Mammalia; Primates; Cercopithecidae.
AGGUGGGAGGAUCGCUUGAGCCUGGGAGGUGGAGGUUGCAGUGAGCUAUGAUCAUGCCACUGCACUCCAGCCUGGGUGAUAGAGUGAGACCGUGUCUC